This 76-nucleotide transfer RNA is filed under the name Schaalia odontolytica. RNAcentral's name for it is "Actinomyces odontolyticus tRNA-Arg". It matches the Rfam family "tRNA". From Rfam's summary of the family: Transfer RNA (tRNA) molecules are approximately 80 nucleotides in length. RNAcentral also lists the same sequence under 15 other names. The record is from RNAcentral. Lineage: Bacteria; Bacillati; Actinomycetota; Actinomycetes; Actinomycetales; Actinomycetaceae.
GCCCCGAUAGCUCAGCGGAUAGAGCGCUUGCCUCCGGUGCAAGAGGUCGCAGGUUCGAGUCCUGUUCGGGGUGCCA